Molecule: long non-coding RNA, 305 nt
Filed under: Sorghum bicolor (sorghum)
Lineage: Eukaryota; Viridiplantae; Streptophyta; Magnoliopsida; Poales; Poaceae
Description: long non-coding RNA (SBIC_LNC011131)
Source: RNAcentral
GCAAGACACGGACAAGCUUUUUAUCCAGGUUCGGCCGCCGAGUUGGCGUAAUACCUACGUCCUGCGUCUGGUUGUAUUGAUUUGUGCUGAGAGAAUAUCUCCUGUCCUAGGGGGGUCCCUUGCCCCUCCUUAUAUAGUCUGGAGGGCAGGGUUACAGAUCUAGAAACUAAUCCUAGUCGGUUACAAUUGCCAUAGAUAAUUCGAUAUCAAUUCCUAUUCUAACCGACUAGAAUCCUGCAUGAUCUCCACGUCUUGUUUCCUUGCGCGAAACUCGGGCUGUCGGAUCAAGCCUUGAACUCGUCUCG